UGCCAGAAGCCCAUCUCCCAAGGCCUCACACUUGUGCCUGAGAGAUGGAAGCAACUACACGACAGCAGUGGAAUUUGAACCCAGGCUCAUUGCAGCAAAUCUGCCCCUCCGUUGCCUACUGCGCGCUAUGCCCCUGCGGGCAAGAAAUCCAUCAUUAUCUGCGCCACGCCCCUGCGGGCAAGAAAUCCAUCAUUAUUCAUUUGGUAACAGUUUCAGUUGCAUCAAUGGUGUGUAGUGUAUACGAACGGCUUAUUGAUCUCAGACUAAACGACGACUACGACGAUGAUGAUAUGAAACUGAAAGCCAUGAUGACCUGCAUUCGUCUACUACAAGGCCAGCAAUAAAGACGGUACACAGCAUCUGCUGCAACGCCCUCACGGAAGCUUGGAAAUGAUAUUAGCGACAUCGAACAAGCUACAUGCAAAUCACAUGUUAGAUAUCCUUAAAAUGAAUACCACUGUCAUCAGUGUGGUGAUGCUGCUUAUAGUUGAUGAUCUUUAGUUUUUUCUUUUCAAUUUGAAGUGUAUACUAUACUAUCUUCAAUCUUCUGCUUCUUCAUUAAAUAUGGUGUUAUUGUUAA
Salvia splendens (bonfire salvia) is the source of this 580-nucleotide long non-coding RNA. RefSeq lists it as uncharacterized. NCBI's taxonomy places the organism in Eukaryota, Viridiplantae, Streptophyta, Magnoliopsida, Lamiales, Lamiaceae. The transcript is spliced from 2 exons. The record is from RefSeq and is a predicted model, not a curated record.